GGGGUUGUGGCUUAGCGGUAGAGCACUCACCUACCAUGUGCGAGGCCCUGGGUUCAAACCUCAGUACCA
This 69-nucleotide transfer RNA is filed under the name Ictidomys tridecemlineatus (thirteen-lined ground squirrel). RNAcentral's name for it is "Spermophilus tridecemlineatus (thirteen-lined ground squirrel) tRNA". It matches the Rfam family "tRNA". From Rfam's summary of the family: Transfer RNA (tRNA) molecules are approximately 80 nucleotides in length. Their secondary structure includes four short double-helical elements and three loops (D, anti-codon, and T loops). Further hydrogen bonds mediate the characteristic L-shaped molecular structure. tRNAs have two regions of fundamental functional importance: the anti-codon, which is responsible for specific mRNA codon recognition, and the 3' end, to which the tRNAs corresponding amino acid is attached (by aminoacyl-tRNA synthetases). tRNAs cope with the degeneracy of the genetic code in two manners: having more than one tRNA (with a specific anti-codon) for a particular amino acid; and 'wobble' base-pairing, i.e. permitting non-standard base-pairing at the 3rd anti-codon position. The record is from Rfam by way of RNAcentral. Lineage: Eukaryota; Metazoa; Chordata; Mammalia; Rodentia; Sciuridae.